Molecule: ribosomal RNA, 492 nt
Filed under: uncultured bacterium
Lineage: Bacteria
Description: partial 16S ribosomal RNA
Rfam family: Bacterial small subunit ribosomal RNA
Source: RNAcentral
AGUGAACGCUGGCGGUAGGCCUAACACAUGCAAGUCGAACGGCAGCACAGUAAGAGCUUGCUCUUACGGGUGGCGAGUGGCGGACGGGUGAGGAAUACAUCGGAAUCUACUUUUUCGUGGGGGAUAACGUAGGGAAACUUACGCUAAUACCGCAUACGACCUACGGGUGAAAGCAGGGGAUCUUCGGACCUUGCGCGAUUGAAUGAGCCGAUGUCGGAUUAGCUAGUUGGCGGGGUAAAGGCCCACCAAGGCGACGAUCCGUAGCUGGUCUGAGAGGAUGAUCAGUCACACUGGACCUGAGACACGGUCCAGACUCCUACGGGAGGCAGCAGUGGGGAAUAUUGGACAAUGGGCGCAAGCCUGAUCCAGCCAUACCGCGUGGGUGAAGAAGGCCUUCGGGUUGUAAAGCCCUUUUGUUGGGAAAGAAAAGCAGCAGGUUAAUACCCCGCUGUUCUGACGGUACCCAAAGAAUAAGCACCGGCUAACUUCGUG